This 615-nucleotide long non-coding RNA is filed under the name Toxoplasma gondii VEG. Lineage: Eukaryota; Apicomplexa; Conoidasida; Eucoccidiorida; Sarcocystidae. The record is from RNAcentral.
CGCAGGGUGCGGCGAAGCGUCUAUUUGAAAAACCGGCACCUGCAUUUACUGUCUGGACAAACAUCACGACUUCCACUUGGCGGUCUCCUUUCUAAGGCUCACAUGUACGGCACACACGCACCAGAAUCUUGUUAACCUGGCUCCUGUUGUGGGAACCGGAGGAUCGCCUUUUAACUGGAUCACACCUUGAAGAUCCCUCUUUGCUGGAUCCAAGUUCUAAUGUGUUGGCAGAGCACGGUUACUAUGAAUAUUGAAGACAUCGAAUCUGGGAUGCGUAUGACUCGACUGAUGUUUGCCCGACACACAGCGUCGGUGCUUGCCAGCUCCUUUCCAGGGCAACACCUUACGAUGUUGUGUUCACUGUGUUCGGGAGAGGAAAAGCGAGACAACGAGAAAGGAGAGAGAGGGGAAAGAAGCGGGGAAGGUGAAGGAAACGAGUGGCGGAAGGGUGGAAGGGCAGAAUAUCAGUCAGGAGAUUCGUUUCAGCGAGUUACUCUUCGAGUUUGAGGGCCUUACGCGUCGACAACAGGGAAGGUGUCCACAGCAUGCGAGACCGAGCUGAACCUAACUGGAAGGAUACUUUCGGAAGCCCAAAGAACUACCAUAAAUCGGCAU